RNAcentral lists this ribosomal RNA (404 nucleotides) under uncultured bacterium. Its description in RNAcentral is "bacterial SSU rRNA". It matches the Rfam family "Bacterial small subunit ribosomal RNA", at positions 976 to 1380 of the family's 1533-position model. The record is from RNAcentral.
AGGUCUUGACAUCGAGGAAAGCCAAUAGAGAUAAUGGUGGCCUUCGGGCAUCCGAAGACAGGUGGUGCAUGGUUGUCGUCAGCUCGUGUCGUGAGAUGUUGGGUUAAGCCCCGCAACGAGCGCAACCCCUAUGGUCAGUUACUAACGCGUAAAGGCGAGGACUCUGACAAGACUGCCGGGGACAACUCGGAGGAAGGUGGGGACGACGUCAAAUCAUCAUGCCCCUUAUGACCUGGGCUACAAACGUGCUACAAUGGUGGUUACAAAGAGGAGCGAGCCUGUAAAGGUAAGCGGAUCUCAAAAAAGCCAUCCCAGUUCGGAUUGUGGGCUGCAACCCGCCCACAUGAAGUUGGAGUUGCUAGUAAUCGCGGAUCAGCAUGCCGCGGUGAAUACGUUCCCGGGCC